RNAcentral lists this ribosomal RNA (483 nucleotides) under uncultured bacterium. Its description in RNAcentral is "partial 16S ribosomal RNA". It matches the Rfam family "Bacterial small subunit ribosomal RNA", at positions 27 to 507 of the family's 1533-position model. The record is from RNAcentral.
GAUUGAACGCUGGCGGCAUGCUCUACACAUGCAAGUCGAACGGUAACAGGCCGCAAGGUGCUGGCGAGUGGCGAACGGGUGAGUAAUGCAUCGGAACGUGCCCAGUCGUGGGGGAUAACUACUCGAAAGAGUAGCUAAUACCGCAUACGAUCUAUGGAUGAAAGCGGGGGACCGUAAGGCCUCGCGCGAUUGGAGCGGCCGAUGUCAGAUUAGGUAGUUGGUGGGGUAAAGGCUCACCAAGCCAACGAUCUGUAGCUGGUCUGAGAGGACGACCAGCCACACUGGGACUGAGACACGGCCCAGACUCCUACGGGAGGCAGCAGUGGGGAAUUUUGGACAAUGGGCGCAAGCCUGAUCCAGCAAUGCCGCGUGCAGGAAGAAGGCCUUCGGGUUGUAAACUGCUUUUGUACGGAACGAAACGGCUCUGGUUAAUACCCGGGGCUAAUGACGGUACCGUAAGAAUAAGCACCGGCUAACUACGUG